CCCUUAGAUGUUCUGGGCCGCACGCGCGCUACACUGAUGCAUUCAACGAGUUUCUUCCUGGUCCGAGAGGAAUGGGUAACCUUUUGAAAGUGCAUCGUGAUAGGGAUAGACUAUUGCAAUUAUUGGUCUUCAACGAGGAAUUCCUAGUAGACGUAGUUCAUCAGACUGCAUCGAUUACGUCCCUGCCCUUUGUACACACCGCCCGUCGCUCCUACCGAUUGAAUGCUCAGGUGAGCCAUUCGGACUUUCAUCAUGCUGGUUUCGAGUUUUGAUGAAGGAAAGUCUUGCGAACCUUAUCAUUUAGAGGAAGGAGAAGUCGUAACA
Molecule: ribosomal RNA, 324 nt
Filed under: uncultured eukaryote
Lineage: Eukaryota
Description: partial 18S ribosomal RNA
Rfam family: Eukaryotic small subunit ribosomal RNA
Source: RNAcentral